ACAUGCGCGUCUACCAAUUUCAACGAGACAUUUCGAUACUUUAUUCUUAACGCUCAGCGAACAGCUUUAAGUCUGCAAAUUUCUUAUCGAGAGGUCAGUGGUAAUCAAUGUGGAAAGCAGAUGUUGGUUGCAAAUGCUGGUUUUCAAAGAAUUUCAUUCAACUUAUCGAUUAAAGAGUUCUUUGAGGAAAUUACAAAAAGACUCAUGAUCCACAGCUAUCUAAUCAGAACGAAUAGAAAGUAUAUUAAAGGUCUUCAGUGUCACAAAGAAGGGCAAAUUGCAAACAUCUCCAUAAAUAUGGUCCGAUCUUGGGUCAGAAUAAUGAGCUAUAAUCUUGGAUUUCUAUCCUUGAAUAAACCCAGUAAACUUGUUAAGGUAGCGGCAGUGAAACCUGGCACAAAGGAUCAGUGUGCUUUUCAAAUUCAGUUGUUGAAACAUCUCUCCAAGGAUGUCUAUGAUAUGAAUGGCCGUUUCAAGAGUACUGGGACACAAAAGUGUAUCAUUGCUGCUUGUUAACCCAAGGGGCUGAAAAACUACAAAAAAAGGUAACAUUUCUUCAGAAAUGAUAAACAUGAAUGCAAUGCUUUGAAUAAGUGCUAUGAUAUGAUAUUUUGGUUGAUAUAUAGUUAUUUAUUAAUUGUGAUGUAUUUAUAUUUAAUACUACAAUAAUUUGUAUAUAUAAUUCAUUGUAUCAUAUGAAAUGCAUAUGAUAUAAUAGUAGGAACAUAAUUUCAAUGUUAAUGAAGCAUUAAUUAAACAAUAUAGCAUAGUAUAUAUCAUUUAAAUAAGUUAAAACAGAAAUCGUAAUGCCCAUAUAAUAUUAAUGCAUGCAAAUCUUAUAUAGGUUUUACAGGACAACAAAUUACAAUUUUUUCAGCUCA
Xenia sp. Carnegie-2017 is the source of this 881-nucleotide long non-coding RNA. RefSeq lists it as uncharacterized. The transcript is spliced from 4 exons. The record is from RefSeq and is a predicted model, not a curated record. Lineage: Eukaryota; Metazoa; Cnidaria; Anthozoa; Malacalcyonacea; Xeniidae.